Molecule: ribosomal RNA, 497 nt
Filed under: uncultured bacterium
Lineage: Bacteria
Description: partial 16S ribosomal RNA
Rfam family: Bacterial small subunit ribosomal RNA
Source: RNAcentral
GAUGAACGCUGGCGGCGUGCCUAAUACAUGCAAGUCGAGCGAACAGAUGAGGAGCUUGCUCCUCUGACGUUAGCGGCGGACGGGUGAGUAACACGUGGAUAACCUACCUAUAAGACUGGGAUAACUUCGGGAAACCGGAGCUAAUACCGGAUAAUAUAUUGAACCGCAUGGUUCAAUAGUGAAAGACGGUUUUGCUGUCACUUAUAGAUGGAUCCGCGCCGCAUUAGCGAGUUGGUAAGGUAACGGCUUACCAAGGCAACGAUGCGUAGCCGACCUGAGAGGGUGAUCGGCCACACUGGAACUGAGACACGGUCCAGACUCCUACGGGAGGCAGCAGUAGGGAAUCUUCCGCAAUGGGCGAAAGCCUGACGGAGCAACGCCGCGUGAGUGAUGAAGGUCUUCGGAUCGUAAAACUCUGUUAUUAGGGAAGAACAAAUGUGUAAGUAACUAUGCACGUCUUGACGGUACCUAAUCAGAAAGCCACGGCUAACUACGUG